This 103-nucleotide small nuclear RNA is filed under the name Carlito syrichta (Philippine tarsier). Lineage: Eukaryota; Metazoa; Chordata; Mammalia; Primates; Tarsiidae. The record is from RNAcentral.
UCGCUUCUGCAGCGCAUAUACUAAAAUUGGAACGACACAGAGAAGAUUAGCAUGGCCUCAGUACAAGGAUGACAUGCCAAUUUGUAAAGCGUUCCAUAGUUUU